AAAAGCGGAGGAAAAGAAACCAACAGGGAUUGCCUCAGUAACGGCGAGUGAAGCGGCAACAGCUCAAAUUUGAAAUCUGGCCGCAAGGUCCGAGUUGUAAUUUGCAGAGGAUGCUUUUGGCGAGGUGCCUUCCGAGUUCCCUGGAACGGGACGCCAUAGAGGGUGAGAGCCCCGUACGGUCGUGCCACCGAGCCUCUGUAAAGCUCCUUCGACGAGUCGAGUAGUUUGGGAAUGCUGCUCUAAAUGGGAGGUGUACGUCUUCUAAAGCUAAAUACCGGCCAGAGACCGAUAGCGCACAAGUAGAGUGAUCGAAAGAUGAAAAGCACUUUGAAAAGAGGGUUAAAAAGUACGUGAAAUUGUUGAAAGGGAAGCAUUCAUGACCAGACUUGGGCUUGGUUGAACAUCCGGCGUUCUCGCCGGUGCACUCUGCCAGCUCAGGCCAGCAUCAGUUUGCCCCGGGGGACAAAGGCGGCGGGAAUGUGGCUCCCCACGGGGAGUGUUAUAGCCCGCCGUGUAAUGCCCUGGGGUGGACUGAGGUUCGCGCUCGGC
This 549-nucleotide small RNA is filed under the name Sarocladium gamsii. RNAcentral describes it as "eukaryotic LSU rRNA". It matches the Rfam family "Eukaryotic large subunit ribosomal RNA", at positions 46 to 605 of the family's 3401-position model. The record is from RNAcentral. Lineage: Eukaryota; Fungi; Ascomycota; Sordariomycetes; Hypocreales; Sarocladiaceae.